This 73-nucleotide transfer RNA is filed under the name Mustela putorius furo (domestic ferret). It matches the Rfam family "tRNA". From Rfam's summary of the family: Transfer RNA (tRNA) molecules are approximately 80 nucleotides in length. Their secondary structure includes four short double-helical elements and three loops (D, anti-codon, and T loops). The record is from Rfam by way of RNAcentral. Lineage: Eukaryota; Metazoa; Chordata; Mammalia; Carnivora; Mustelidae.
GUCUGGCUGGCUCAGUUGGUGCAGCGUAUGAUUCUUGAUCUUGGGAUUGUGAGUUCAAGUCCCACGCUGGGUG